GGGGUAACAUGUAGAGGCGUACCAAAUAGCGUGUCAAUAUGAGUCAAAAUGACACCUAAAUUUCAUGCAUUCAGUUGCCUCUGUAGUUAAAUAUGCCUUUGAAUUGGUUAAAAAUUACAGUUAGUUCUAGGUAUAAGACCAUUCUUCUAUAAUUGUAUUUGCAUAUUGUGUCACUGUAGGGUGCACUUAGUGGCACAUUUAACAUAGGAUUGUAUAUGCAUAAGAUUAUCAUAUAGAGCUAUGCUUAUUGCACCCUAUUGCAUAUACAAUCCUAUGUUAAAUGUG
This 285-nucleotide unclassified non-coding RNA is filed under the name Hevea brasiliensis (rubber tree). The record is from RNAcentral. Lineage: Eukaryota; Viridiplantae; Streptophyta; Magnoliopsida; Malpighiales; Euphorbiaceae.